UACGGAGGAUGCAAGCGAUGUCCGGAUUUAUUGGGCUUAAAGGGUGCGUAGGCGGCCUAUUAAGUUAGUGGUGAAAACGUGCGGCUUAACCGGAUACCCGCCAUUGAUACUGAUAGACUUGAGUGCGACAGAGGGUGUUGGAAUGUGUGGUGUAGCGGUGAAAUGCUUAGAUAUCACGCAGAACACCAAUUGCGAAGGCAGAUGCCUAUGUCGUAACUGACGAUGAGGCACGAAAGCGUGGGGAGCAAACAGG
RNAcentral lists this ribosomal RNA (253 nucleotides) under uncultured bacterium. RNAcentral's name for it is "partial 16S ribosomal RNA". It matches the Rfam family "Bacterial small subunit ribosomal RNA", at positions 524 to 776 of the family's 1533-position model. The record is from RNAcentral.